UCAGACAUGGUGUUGUGGUGGCAUGGCCUCUUCAGAUAUAGGUUCAACAUUUGAAUUGGGGGCAGUGCAGGGUUCAAUUCCCUGUGUCUGAA
This is a non-coding RNA of Mycena galericulata, 92 nucleotides long. The record is from the annotation of a GenBank genome assembly. Lineage: Eukaryota; Fungi; Basidiomycota; Agaricomycetes; Agaricales; Mycenaceae.